AACGAACGCUGGCGGCAUGCCUAACACAUGCAAGUCGAACGAGACCUUCGGGUCUAGUGGCGCACGGGUUCGUAACGCGUGGGAACCUGCCCUUAGGUUCGGAAUAACUCCCCGAAAGGGGUGCUAAUACCGGAUCAUGUCUUCGGACCAACGAUUUAUCGCCUUUGGAUGGGCCCGCGUUGGAUUAGCUAGUUGGUAGGGUAAAAGCCUACCAAGGCGACGAUCCAUAGCUGGUCUGAGAGAAUGAUCAGCCACACUGGGACUGAGACACGGCCCAGACUCGUACGGGAGGCAGCAGUGGGGAAUAUUGGACAGUGGGCGAAAGCCUGAUCCAGCAAUGCCGCGAGAGUGAUGAGGGCCUUAGGGAUGUAAAGCUCUUUUACCCGGGAUGAUAAUGACAGUACCGGGAGAAUAAGCUCCGGCUAACUCCGUG
This 433-nucleotide ribosomal RNA is filed under the name uncultured bacterium. Its description in RNAcentral is "partial 16S ribosomal RNA". It matches the Rfam family "Bacterial small subunit ribosomal RNA", at positions 29 to 507 of the family's 1533-position model. The record is from RNAcentral.